CACACAAAAAGAAAAGAAAACCCUUUGUAUAUCCAGUUAGCUUUGAUUUUGGGGAAGUAUUUUCUCUUCGAGCUGGAUAAAUCAUGGUUUUCCAUAGGAAGCUACAAGCUAUGUUAUCACUUAGCCUCUACAAAGCCUUUGAUGUAUUUUUCGAUUCGUGACCAUCCGUUUGAUGUUCUUUGGUCGAAAAAAUUGAAUCGGUUGCAGAUACAUUCACAUUUCAUUUUUGGACCUGACAAUUUCCUUCCACCUGGAAUCAAAUGGUGUACCUGCCACUUUCUCCUUGAACUAAAAUAAUUUCAAAGGUGUUGAGAACUAAAUACUAAUUGAGAAGGGAAUGUGGAAAAGGUUGAAGCACAAAUUGAAGUGCAAGAACAUUUUUUUUUUCUGAGGAUUCUUAAAAAAUGUUUCCAUUUGUCCGUUCACUACAAUUGUGUUCUGUUUUUUAGGAGAUGUAAUAUGAAUAUAUUUUAGGUAUUGUAAUGUUUUACUUAUUUCUAAUUAACAAUGAUGUUUUAUGGGUAUUGACUAUUAUUUAUGUUCGA
Long non-coding RNA from Solanum tuberosum (potato), 545 nucleotides. RefSeq lists it as uncharacterized. The record is from RefSeq and is a predicted model, not a curated record. Lineage: Eukaryota; Viridiplantae; Streptophyta; Magnoliopsida; Solanales; Solanaceae. The transcript is spliced from 3 exons.